RNAcentral lists this ribosomal RNA (253 nucleotides) under uncultured bacterium. RNAcentral's name for it is "partial 16S ribosomal RNA". It matches the Rfam family "Bacterial small subunit ribosomal RNA", at positions 524 to 776 of the family's 1533-position model. The record is from RNAcentral.
UACGUAGGGGGCAAGCGUUGUCCGGAUUUAUUGGGCGUAAAGAGCGUGUAGGCGGCCAGGUAGGUCCGCUGUGAAAGUCCGAGGCUCAACCUCGGAAUGUCGGCGGAAACCCUCUGGCUAGAGUCCGGAAGAGGAGAGUGGAAUUCCCGGUGUAGCGGUGAAAUGCGCAGAUAUCGGGAAGAACACCCGUGGCGAAGGCGGCUCUCUGGAACGGUACUGACGCUGAGACGCGAAAGCGUGGGGGGCGAACAGG